UGCCACAAUUUUGUCCCUCUCAAAAGAGGC
RNAcentral lists this non-coding RNA (30 nucleotides) under Mus musculus (house mouse). The record is from RNAcentral. Lineage: Eukaryota; Metazoa; Chordata; Mammalia; Rodentia; Muridae.